UGGGGAAUAUUGCACAAUGGGCGCAAGCCUGAUGCAGCCAUGCCGCGUGUGUGAAGAAGGCCUUCGGGUUGUAAAGCACUUUCAGCGAGGAGGAAGGUGGUGAGCUUAAUACGCUCAUCAAUUGACGUUACUCGCAGAAGAAGCACCGGCUAACUCCGUGCCAGCAGCCGCGGCAAUACGGAGGGUGCAAGCGUUAAUCGGAAUUACUGGGCGUAAAGCGCACGCAGGCGGUUUGUUAAGUCAGAUGUGAAAUCCCCGGGCUCAACCUGGGAACUGCAUUUGAAACUGGCAAGCUAGAGUCUCGUAGAGGGGGGUAGAAUUCCAGGUGUAGCGGUGAAAUGCGUAGAGAUCUGGAGGAAUACCGGUGGCGAAGGCGGCCCCCUGGACGAAGACUGACGCUCAGGUGCGAAAGCGUGGGGAGCAAACAGGAUUAGAUACCCUGGUAGUCCACGCUGUAAACGAUGUCGAUUUUGGAGGUUGUGCCCUUGAGGCGUGGCUUCCGGAGCUAACGCGUUAAAUCGACCGCCUGGGGAGUACGGCCGCAAGGUUAAAACUCAAAUGAAUUGACGGGGUCAUAGCUG
This 581-nucleotide ribosomal RNA is filed under the name uncultured bacterium. Its description in RNAcentral is "partial 16S ribosomal RNA". It matches the Rfam family "Bacterial small subunit ribosomal RNA", at positions 355 to 932 of the family's 1533-position model. The record is from RNAcentral.